GCGCCCGUAGCUCAAUUGGAUAGAGCACCUGCCUUCUAAGCCGGUUGUUGGCCGUUCGAUCCGGCCCGGGCGCG
This 74-nucleotide transfer RNA is filed under the name Omnitrophica WOR_2 bacterium GWC2_44_8. Its description in RNAcentral is "tRNA-Arg". It matches the Rfam family "tRNA". From Rfam's summary of the family: Transfer RNA (tRNA) molecules are approximately 80 nucleotides in length. Their secondary structure includes four short double-helical elements and three loops (D, anti-codon, and T loops). Lineage: Bacteria; Pseudomonadati; Candidatus Omnitrophota. RNAcentral also lists the same sequence under 2 other names. The record is from RNAcentral.